Asparagus officinalis (garden asparagus) is the source of this 478-nucleotide long non-coding RNA. RefSeq lists it as uncharacterized. The record is from RefSeq and is a predicted model, not a curated record. Lineage: Eukaryota; Viridiplantae; Streptophyta; Magnoliopsida; Asparagales; Asparagaceae. The transcript has 3 exons.
UCUGCCUCCUCCGCCCCUCGUCGCCGCCUGCAGUCCCCCGCGGCCGCCGCCUUGGCCACCGCCGCCGACGAGCCUGAGCCAGUGAGCUCACUGCAGAAAACUGCAGUUCGGAGCCAACUUCGCGCGCGUUUUCCGGCCAACUCCGACCUCCGUUUCCGUCGAUUCCUUCGCCGUUGUUGUUUCCGCGAAACCUGUCGUAACGCUAUGCAACCACCCCGACGACCUCCACUACGGUCCACGAUAUACCCUAGAUUUAGAGGACGGACAACUACAUUUAGGAGUAGUACAUGAGCCAGAGGAUCCUCCGCAGGAGUGCUUCGCAGACUGAGCAGAAGAAACCGAAACUUAGUUAUUCCCUUUAGUUGUUCGAUGGGCUUAGCUUACUUUUAGUACUUUCUAUUUUUGCCUGAUCGAUGUAUUUUAUAUUUCUUCAGUAUUUCAUUCAGAUCGUUUUGUAUAAGGGCAUGUUUGGCCCGAA